RNAcentral lists this long non-coding RNA (508 nucleotides) under Ornithorhynchus anatinus (platypus). RNAcentral's name for it is "lncRNA (ENSOANG00000045299.1)". Lineage: Eukaryota; Metazoa; Chordata; Mammalia; Monotremata; Ornithorhynchidae. The record is from RNAcentral.
CGCCCUGGGUGCUCAGUAAAUCAUUUUGUUUAUGACGCUGCCAAAUCAAGCUUGCAAAGGAAUUUAGAGGCAAAGUAAGAAAAAAUAGUGGCUGGUCUCCAGCUCCCAGAAGAUGCCAGAAGAUGCUUCAGACAGGAUCCUAGCGAAGAGUGGAGUCUGCAGGCGAGAAAAUUGCCAAUCUGACUAGAUCCUGAGAACAGUUCAAGACAGUCUAUCCAAGGGACCUCGAAUUUGACUGGGAGUCAGCAAGAGCUCUGCACAGCACUUCACGUGUCUGCGGCCAAGACAUUCCAGAAAGGAGAGUGCAUCUUGGCAUGGAUAAGGAGAAGAUGAAUGUGAAGCUGGCCACCCUGAAUACCCCCUACCCCCUGGGUAGAAAAAAUUCCAGACAUUGCUGAAGAGAGAGGUAUUUUUUUUUCAUUCAAAAGUAGGGAACUGGUGGUGGAAAGUUCCUUUGUUAGUCUCUGAGUCAUCGAGUCUUCUAAGGGGCUCUCUCUGUUUGUGUGCU